GACGAACCGUGCGAACGUUGUUCGGAAUCACUGGGCUUAAAGGGUGCGUAAGCGGGCCGCCGCGUCCGGGGUGAAAUCCCACGGCUCAACCGUGGAACGGCCCCGGGUACGGGCGGUCUGGAGGGGAGUAGGGGCAGGCGGAACUGUGCGUGGAGCGGUGAAAUGCGUUGAUAUGCACAGGAACUCCGGUGGCGAAGGCGGCCUGCUGGGCUCUUUCUGACGCUGAGGCACGAAAGCCAGGGGAGCGAACGGG
RNAcentral lists this ribosomal RNA (253 nucleotides) under uncultured bacterium. RNAcentral describes it as "partial 16S ribosomal RNA". It matches the Rfam family "Bacterial small subunit ribosomal RNA", at positions 524 to 776 of the family's 1533-position model. The record is from RNAcentral.